This 253-nucleotide ribosomal RNA is filed under the name uncultured bacterium. RNAcentral's name for it is "partial 16S ribosomal RNA". It matches the Rfam family "Bacterial small subunit ribosomal RNA", at positions 524 to 776 of the family's 1533-position model. The record is from RNAcentral.
UACGUAGGGUGCGAGCGUUACUCGGAAUUACUGGGCGUAAAGCGUGCGCAGGCGGUUGUGUAAGUCAGUUGUGAAAUCCCCGGGCUCAACCUGGGAAUUGCAUCUGUGACUGCACAGCUAGAGUACGGUAGAGGGGGAUGGAAUUCCGCGUGUAGCAGUGAAAUGCGUAGAUAUGCGGAGGAACACCGAUGGCGAAGGCAAUCCCCUGGACCUGUACUGACGCUCAUGCACGAAAGCGUGGGGAGCAAACAGG